RNAcentral lists this ribosomal RNA (279 nucleotides) under uncultured bacterium. RNAcentral describes it as "partial 16S ribosomal RNA". It matches the Rfam family "Bacterial small subunit ribosomal RNA", at positions 506 to 784 of the family's 1533-position model. The record is from RNAcentral.
UGCCAGCAGCCGCGGUAAUACGGAGGGUGCAAGCAUUGAUCGGAAUUAUUGGGCGUAAAGGGCGCGUAGGCGGCCAGGUAAGUCUGAUGUGAAAGCCCGGGGCUCAACCCCGGAAGUGCAUUGGAAACUGGCGAACUUGAGUACGGGAGAGGAAAGUGGAAUUCCGAGUGUAGGGGUGAAAUCCGUAGAUAUUCGGAGGAACACCAGUGGCGAAGGCGGCUUUCUGGACCGAUACUGACGCUGAGACGCGAAAGCGUGGGGAGCGAACAGGAUUAGAUA